Molecule: ribosomal RNA, 630 nt
Filed under: Chryseobacterium sp.
Lineage: Bacteria; Pseudomonadati; Bacteroidota; Flavobacteriia; Flavobacteriales; Weeksellaceae
Description: bacterial SSU rRNA
Rfam family: Bacterial small subunit ribosomal RNA
Source: RNAcentral
ACACAUGCAAGCUGAGCGGUAGAGAUCUUUCGGGAUCUUGAGAGCGGCGUACGGGUGCGGAACACGUGUGCAACCUGCCUUUAUCAGGGGGAUAGCCUUUCGAAAGGAAGAUUAAUACCCCAUAAUAUAUAGAGUGGCAUCACUUUAUAUUGAAAACUGAGGUGGAUAAAGAUGGGCACGCGCAAGAUUAGAUAGUUGGUGAGGUAACGGCUCACCAAGUCGAUGAUCUUUAGGGGGCCUGAGAGGGUGAUCCCCCACACUGGUACUGAGACACGGACCAGACUCCUACGGGAGGCAGCAGUGAGGAAUAUUGGACAAUGGGUUAGCGCCUGAUCCAGCCAUCCCGCGUGAAGGACGACGGCCCUAUGGGUUGUAAACUUCUUUUGUACAGGGAUAAACCUAUUUACGUGUAAAUAGCUGAAGGUACUGUACGAAUAAGCACCGGCUAACUCCGUGCCAGCAGCCGCGGUAAUACGGAGGGUGCAAGCGUUAUCCGGAUUUAUUGGGUUUAAAGGGUCCGUAGGCGGAUGCGUAAGUCAGUGGUGAAAUCUCACAGCUCAACUGUGAAACUGCCAUUGAUACUGCGUGUCUUGAGUGAGGUUGAAGUAGCUGGAAUAAGUAGUGUAGCGG